GGCGAACGGGUGAGUAACACGUGAGUAACCUGCCCUUGACUUUGGGAUAACUUCAGGAAACUGGGGCUAAUACUGGAUAGGAGCUCCUGCUGCAUGGUGGGGGUUGGAAAGUUUCGGCGGUUGGGGAUGGACUCGCGGCUUAUCAGCUUGUUGGUGGGGUAGUGGCUUACCAAGGCUUUGACGGGUAGCCGGCCUGAGAGGGUGACCGGCCACAUUGGGACUGAGAUACGGCCCAG
This 236-nucleotide ribosomal RNA is filed under the name uncultured Actinomycetales bacterium. RNAcentral describes it as "partial 16S ribosomal RNA". It matches the Rfam family "Bacterial small subunit ribosomal RNA", at positions 97 to 334 of the family's 1533-position model. Lineage: Bacteria; Bacillati; Actinomycetota; Actinomycetes; Actinomycetales. The record is from RNAcentral.